This 649-nucleotide ribosomal RNA is filed under the name Silverstoneia flotator (rainforest rocket frog). Its description in RNAcentral is "partial large subunit ribosomal RNA". It matches the Rfam family "Bacterial large subunit ribosomal RNA", at positions 1764 to 2646 of the family's 2925-position model. The record is from RNAcentral. Lineage: Eukaryota; Metazoa; Chordata; Amphibia; Anura; Dendrobatidae.
GUAUUGCUACGUGCCCAAGUGCCGCCUGUUUAUCAAAACAUCGCCUCUUGCUCACAAAUAAGAGGUCCAGCCUGCCCAGUGACUUUGUUCAACGGCCGCGGUAUCCUAACCGUGCGAAGGUAGCGUAAUCACUUGUCCUUUAAAUAAGGACUAGUAUGAAUGGCCCCACGAAGGCUAUACUGUCUCCUUUUUCUAAUCAAUGAAACUAAUCUUCCCGUGAAGAAGCGGGAAUAACUAUAUAAGACGAGAAGACCCUAUGGAGCUUUAAACUAUUGAAACACUUGCUUUAUUACUCUUUCCUCCUGAGCCCUUUCAAAUAUUUUAGCAUUUUUAUUUCUAGUUUUAGGUUGGGGUGACCACGGAGUAAAACUUAACCUCCAUGAUGUAAGAGAUUCCUCUUAGCUGAAAGUUACCACUUUAAGCACCAAAAAUUGACUUCCAUUGACCCAAAUAAUUGAUCAACGAACCAAGUUACCCUAGGGAUAACAGCGCAAUCUACUUCAAGAGCUCAUAUCGACAAGUAGGUUUACGACCUCGAUGUUGGAUCAGGGUAUCCUAGUGGUGCAGCCGCUACUAAUGGUUCGUUUGUUCAACGAUUAAAACCCUACGUGAUCUGAGUUCAGACCGGGCACUUGGGCACGUAGCACAA